Molecule: ribosomal RNA, 784 nt
Filed under: Bacillus sp. DCU SB-BT
Lineage: Bacteria; Bacillati; Bacillota; Bacilli; Caryophanales; Bacillaceae
Description: partial 16S ribosomal RNA
Rfam family: Bacterial small subunit ribosomal RNA
Source: RNAcentral
UUAUUGAGCGUAAUGCGCGCGCAGGUGGUUUCUUAAGUCUGAUGUGAAAGCCCACGGCUCAACCGUGGAGCGGCAUUGGAAACUGGGAGACUUGAGUGCAGAAGAGGUAAGUGGAAUUCCAUGUGUAGCGGUGAAAUGCGUAGAGAUAUGGAGGAACACCAGUGGCGAAGGCGACUUUCUGGUCUGUCACUGACACUGAGGCGCGAAAGCGUGGGGAGCAAACAGGAUUAGAUACCCUGGUAGUCCACGCCGUAAACGAUGAGUGCUAAGUGUUAGAGGGUUUCCGCCCUUUAGUGCUGAAGUUAACGCAUUAAGCACUCCGCCUGUCGAGUACGGCCGCAAGGUUGAAACUCAAAUGAAUUGACGGGGGCCCGCACAAGCGAUGAAGCAUGUGGUUUAAUUCGAAGCAACGCGAAGAACCUUACCAGGUCUUGACAUCCCCUGAAACCCCAAAAAAAGGGCUUUCCCUUCGGGAGCUAAUUACAGGGUGGUGCAUGGUUGUCCCCACCCCGUUUCGGGAAAUUUUUUUUUUAAGUCCCCAAACCAAGGCAACCUUGGUUCUUUGUUCCCACCCUUAUGGUGGCCCCUUAAGGGAACUGCCGGGAAAAACCCGGAGAAGGGGGGGAAAACUAAAUUCUUCGGGCCCUUAGACGGGGGAACCCCGGUUCAUUGGGGGAAAAAGCUCAAUACCGGGGGGGCCAUUUUCAAAAACGUUCUUUCCAUUUAAACCCACCCCCCUUAACCGAAUCCUAAAACCGGCCCAUGCGGGAAAUUUCCCAAAAAA